AAGCUACAGCUGUGUUUAUCACGUCCAUGUUUUCUCUCAUAACUUCUCCUCUGAGAGCCGUCAGCUCUCUCUCACUGUUGUUGAUCCAAGACCUUUUAUCAUCAGAACGGUCGUUCUGUCACUGAUUCUGCUGGUGGCGAACAUUGCCUCUUACUUCUAUUUUAAGACCCACAGGGUCUACAGGGUGCAGAAGCCCCGCAGACGGGAGGACGUGGAGCUGGAUUAUUAUAACCUGGGUGUUCCUGCAGCAGA
Long non-coding RNA from Centropristis striata (black sea bass), 252 nucleotides. RefSeq lists it as uncharacterized. The record is from RefSeq and is a predicted model, not a curated record. The transcript is spliced from 3 exons. Lineage: Eukaryota; Metazoa; Chordata; Actinopteri; Perciformes; Serranidae.